This is a long non-coding RNA of Triticum aestivum (bread wheat), 768 nucleotides long. RefSeq lists it as uncharacterized. The transcript is spliced from 2 exons. The record is from RefSeq and is a predicted model, not a curated record. Lineage: Eukaryota; Viridiplantae; Streptophyta; Magnoliopsida; Poales; Poaceae.
CACAUCUAGUUGUUCUCGUCCCUCCAAUGGCCUCCUCUAGCUCUUCUUCCUCACGAUCUCAUUAUUCCGCUAGUAGAGUUCAAGGUGCACCAGUGAGAUCGCCGAUAAGGUACCGGCAAGGUCCGCUAGACUAUGAGCCAUAUGACCCGUUUGAAUGCAGGCCGCCUAAGAAAGCAGCCAUGUGGAUCUCGUGGAGCGACGAAAAUCCAAGGAGGAGGUACAGAAGUUGUUACUAUUCACGGAGGGGAGGUUGCCAGUAUUUCAUAUGGCAUGACGAUCCAAUCGAUGAUCCGUUCCUUAAGCAGCUGGUACUGGAUCUGAGGGACCAAGUGUGGCUGCUUGAGAGGUUGAACUCGAACCUGCAUGAUGCUAAUGAGCCAUUGCAUGUGCAACCCGCAGCUGACUCGUCGUCUCCGUGAAGCUAACGAGACAUUGCAUGUGCAACCCGCAGCUGUGGUGCCAGUUGUUUUGCCGGAUCAGAGGUUCAAACACAUGGCCCGCGCUAUGUAUGUGUUGCUGGUAGCUCUGUUUUGCUACAUCUUCCUCAGGGUUUAUUAGAUGAUUCUGUUUACGAACAAGUAAUAUCUUAAUCAUGUUCUAUGUGUUGGUGUGAGUGAGUGUGUGAGAUUUAGUGCAUGGAGAAUCCAUCCCAGCCUGUGCCUUAAGAUUAGUUGUGUGAGUGUGAGCGUGACCCCGAGGGCAUGCCGAAUGUAUCCUAUCCCAGUAUGUGUCACAAAAUUCGUAGUUUCAGUGCAUUAUUGUUCGAAA